Non-coding RNA from Bactrocera oleae (olive fruit fly), 4024 nucleotides. The record is from RefSeq and is a predicted model, not a curated record. NCBI's taxonomy places the organism in Eukaryota, Metazoa, Arthropoda, Insecta, Diptera, Tephritidae.
UAAAAAAAAAAAUAAUCUUAUUAAAAAUAAAUUAUUAUUAAAAAAACAUUUAAAAUAAAACAUAAAUUUAUUAAAAAAAAAGAUUAUUAUUAAUAUUAAACGAAAAUUAAUUUCAAUGUUUUAUUGUUAAAUAAAUACGUAUGUACAUACUACGUCCUCAGUUGUAAUUAAUGUGGUUUUUAUAUAAACGCAGUAGAAAAUUUCGUCUAUUUUUUUAUAAACUUAAAAAAAAAAACAGAAAAAAAUACAAAAAAUAAAUAAAAAAUAAGAAAAUAAAAAACAAUUAAAAAAUAAAUUAAUUAAUAGUAAAGAAAAUUAAAGACGCAAUAAAAUAUGAAACUUAACUGUUUAGUCAAAUUCGUUAUUGAAGCACAAUUUUCAAUUGAUCCAGCCACUUGAAAGCGGUGCUUGUAGGAAAAGAUAAUCUGUAUUUGUUGCUACAAAUGUUACAUUUUUAAUUUUUUACCGCUUUAAUUUUUUAUAAACUAAGCUACAUAUACAUAUUUUUGUUUUAUAAUUUUACUUGUUUUAGAUUACAAUUUAAUUAUGCAUUUUUAUGAUUGUUUUUACAGCUAAACAACAGUUAAAGAAUUCAAAUAUAUUUUUUCUACUACUUUAAUUACUGUUUUUAAUUUUAUUUAUUACGCUUAUUGUAGUAUUUAUAAAUGUUUAAGCAUGCUUGCAAGUUCAUACUCUUGUAUUAUUUAAAAUAGAAACAAGCAAAAUUAAAGCCGCGGUGCGGUUGAGUAUUUGUGCCUUUAAAUUUUUUGCUCACUUUAGUAUUUUCAAAUUAUUUUUCAUUAUUAUACAUUUGUUGUUAUUAAAAAUAAAAAUAUUUUUUUCUUUCAACUUUUUAUUUAGCUUUGUUAUCACAUAAACGUGAACAAUUAUUGUUUAGAAUAUUAUCAAGUUAUUUUUCAAAUUUCUUGCCGGUGCACCGAAAAGCUUAUAUUACGAAACUAAAGCUGCCGAAAAUGUUGCGUUCUAAGUUGAAUGAUUUUAUAUAAAUGUUUAACUGAUGAUGAAUAUUUGUACAAUAUAUGUAAAAAUUAGUAAAUGACGUUACCACUUAUUUGUAUGCGGUAACUGUCAAAAAAUAUAACAAACAAAUUUAAAUAAAGUUCUAACAGCACAAAGCGCUUUUAUUAGAUAUUUGAAAUGCUUGUAAAAUAAUAAAAAAAAGUUAUAUGUGUAAAUGUAUAUAUUUAAAUAAAAAAAAACUAUAAAUAAUAAUUUAAAAUAUGUAUAACUAGUGCGUCAUAUUUCAGUUUCGGGUUUCGCUUUUCUAGUUUUGAAGUUGAAGCUACUUGCAAAUCACAAAGUUGGUUACUAACUGUAAAUAGUUUCAAACGCCUAAUGCGCUAAGACCACACAAGUUUGCAAAAGUUAGCUAUUAAUUAGUUUUUUCACGACGAAGUUGUAAAAUGUGUUAAAAUUGCUAGAUUCAACAAUUAAUUUAUGAAAUAAAGUUUUCAGUUUAUAUUUAAUUAAUGUAUUAAUAUAAAAAAUUUAGUUGAGUUAUUUAUUUUAUUUAUUUAUUGUUAUUUAUAUACCAAUUUGUAUUUUGUUGCAUUACUUUAUUUUUUUCAUAUAUUUUCUUAUUUGUGUAUUAAAAUACUUUUUGUUUACCUGGUUUACCCUGGUUGGAAGUUUACCAGGGUUGCAAAUAAUUUGCAUACAUUUUUUUUUUUAUUUUGCAAACCCGUAAAUCAUAAUUAAAAAGUAUUUUUAAAUUAUUUGUAAACCCGAAAAUCAUAAUUAAAAAUUAUUUUUAAAUAAGCACCGUUCUGCCAUUUUGGAUUUCUUUUGCAAAGCAAGCUUUGUUCAGUAAAAUAACAACAUAGGACAGUUAGCUCUUUUUGUCUUAUUUACAUAUAUUAAAUUGCUUUAAAUUAGAGUGUAUUAGUUAGAAAUAUGUAAAUCUUUCCUUUUUUAUGCGCUUUCAUUCCAGCUUUUUAUUUGAAAAUAAAUUUUUUUAUUUGUUUUUUCAAUUUUCAAAAAUUUUAAAAUUUAAAAUUUUAUACUAAUUAUUAUUUAAUGAAAUAAAAAAAUUUUCAGAACUAAAAAUUUAAUUUUUAGCACCAAAAUCGGAGUUAAAAGUUAAAUUUUUAGCACCAAUCGGAAUUAAAAGUUUAAUUUUUAGUGCCAAAAUUUGGAAUUAAAAAUUGAAUUUUUAGUGCCAAAAUCGUUAUUAAAAACGGAAAAUCGUAUUUUUAAACCAAAUUUUUUUAAUUCGAAAAUUCGCAAUCCUGCUUCCAACGCCGUCAAACAAGCGCCAACUAAGCUUAUUACUUUAUUUAAAUUAAACAUACAUGUGUUAAUGUUUAUUAAUUAUAUUUAUUUAUUUGUUUUUAUUUUUCUUGUUGCAUUUUGUUUUUUAAUUGUAUUUAGAAAUAAUAUUAAACAUGACCGUUAGACUUAACGACUUAAAUGUUGUUUACAUGUAGCAUAGCAAACAUAUAUAUACAUACAGUUACAUAAAUAAUAAUAGUAAUAAUAAUAAUAAUAAUAUUUAUUAAUAACCAUAAUAAAAACGGCAUACUAAUUAGUUUAAUUGCAUUUAAUUAUUUGUUAAAAGUAUAAAGAACGACAUACAGAUGAUAAAUGAAACUCGAAAAAAAAACUUACCGCGACGUGAAAUCUCCCCCGUUUGUUUGUUACUUCUUCUUUACUAUUUAGUAUAUAUAUUUUCAUAUUUUGCUUAGUUAGUAAUUAAAUUUAAACUUCUGCUGCUGCACUUUUCUUUCACCCUCAAACGCGCUUUGUUGCUAUGCUUCAUGGGAAGCUAAAAUAUUACUUUUGUUCUGUAACUUUUGCUAAAUUUAUUUGAAAUGUUAAAAAAAAAAAUUGUUGCGAAAAUUGCAAAUCAAUAUUUUGCUGCGGCAUAAUGUCAAAUUUUGUUAACGCACAGACGCCAGUACGCACUAUUUCGUCGCCAACGUGCGUAUGAUGCUUCCUUUGCUGCUUACAGCCAAGCAAUUGAUUGUUUAAAAUUUAAACUUCAAAUAGCCGUAACGCAUAAUGGCGAAAUGUGUGCAGACAAAACGCGUUCAAAACGCAUAAAAUAGAAAAAAUACGGCUAUACAAGGCGUUGGCGUGUGUUUGCAAUGCCGAAAUUAAAGUUUGACAAACACGCAUGGUUUUGUUUAGCUUGUUUAUGUGUUGCUUGCUGUCACUGCAUGGCGUUGCCAAACAUGCAAAUAGUUUAGUAUUUGAAGCGCAUUUGAUUGAUUGCAUUUUUUUUGUUUUUGUUUUGGUUUUUUCUUCUGCUUUUACUUAAGAGUUAUGUUUGUUAAUGCUGUUAGUUUUUUUGUUUUGCUUUGUUUUUCUUAUGUGUGUUUUAAUUAUAUUUGUAAAUCGUUUGCUGUUGAUUUUAGCUAAUAAAGUUUUUUAGUUGAAUCUGCUUGCAGUUAUACAGUUACGAGUUUGCUUUUUUGUUUUUUUUUAUUUGUUGCUUACAGUAGUGCAAAGUGCGACAAAAUCGUUCUUGAUUUUCGGUUUCGUACGCGUGCUUGGCUGCCUGCACGCUUUACCUACACUGUUCUAUGUACUCCAUUUUCUUACAAUUUUUUGUGUGAUUUUAUAAUUAUUUAUUUAUUAAUUUUUUUAAUUAUUUUUAUUUUUUGAUUACAUUUCCUUUAACCGCUAACUGUUAAACUAACUGUAACCGGUUGCUGCUGUUUUGUUAUGUACCGAAACUGCUGCAACUGCUUGAGUUCUUGUACCAUGCGCAACUUCUUUAUAUGCGCCUCAACUAGCCCCUAUUCAACUUCAAACAGCAUCAGUGACACUUUUAGUCAUCAUCUAUACAAUUCUAAUCUCGCUAACCCAUUGUCGUCGCUGUCUGUUGCGGCUGUGUGCCAUUGCCACCGCCGCCGCUAUUAUUGCUGCCGCCACUACCGCCGCCAUUGCCAUUGCCGCCACUGGCGCCACCGGCGCUUGAAAUCGAAGUGGCAUCACCCGCGCCGGCUGCUGACGCAACGCUAGCAGACGCUUGCUGUUGGUUACCGCCAUUGCUGCUGUU